GAAGCCUGAUGCAGCAACGCCGCGUGAGUGAUGAAGGCUUUCGAGUCGUAAAGCUCUUUGAUCAGGGAUGAUAAUGACAGUACCUGAAAAACAAGCCACGGCUAACUACGUGCCAGCAGCCGCGGUAAUACGUAGGUGGCGAGCGUUGUCCGGAAUUACUGGGCGUAAAGGAUGCGUAGGUGGAUAUUUAAGUGGGAUGUGAAAUCCCCGGGCUCAACCCGGGAACUGCAUUCCAAACUGGAUGUCUAGAGUGCAGGAGAGGAAAGCGGAAUUCCUAGUGUAGCGGUGAAAUGAGUAGAUAUUAGGAGGAACACCAGUGGCGAAGGCGGCUUUCUGGACUGUAACUGACACUGAGGCAUGAAAGCGUGGGUAGCAAACAGGAUUAGAUACCUUGGUAGUCC
This 401-nucleotide ribosomal RNA is filed under the name uncultured bacterium. RNAcentral describes it as "bacterial SSU rRNA". It matches the Rfam family "Bacterial small subunit ribosomal RNA", at positions 378 to 796 of the family's 1533-position model. The record is from RNAcentral.